AUUGAACGCUGGCGGAAUGCUUUACACAUGCAAGUCGAACGGUAGAGGGGGCAACCCCUCGAGAGUGGCGAACGGGUGAGUAAUAUAUCGGAACGUGCCCAGUCGUGGGGGAUAAGGUAGCGAAAGUUACGCUAAUACCGCAUACGAUCUACGGAUGAAAGCGGGGGAUCGCAAGAACUCGCGCGAUUGGGGCGGCCGAUGUCAGAUUAGGUAGUUGGUGGGGUAAAGGCUCAGCAAGCCAACGAUCUGUAGCUGGUCUGAGAGGACGACCGGCCACACUGGAACUGUGACACGGUCCAGACUCCUACGGGAGUCAGCGGUGGAGAAUUGUGGACAAUUUACGCAAGGCUGAUCGAGCCAUUCCGCGUGCAGGAUGAAGGCCCUCGGGUUGUAAACUUCUAUUGUACGUAACGAAAAGGUUACCAUUAUUACUUUGAGCUCAUGACGGUACCGUAAGAAUAAGCACCGGCUAACUACGUGCCAGCCGCCGCCGUAA
Molecule: ribosomal RNA, 496 nt
Filed under: uncultured bacterium
Lineage: Bacteria
Description: partial 16S ribosomal RNA
Rfam family: Bacterial small subunit ribosomal RNA
Source: RNAcentral